RNA transcript from Arabidopsis lyrata subsp. lyrata, 953 nucleotides. It is a transcript of the gene named non-specific lipid-transfer protein 7, with no coding region annotated. The transcript has 3 exons. NCBI's taxonomy places the organism in Eukaryota, Viridiplantae, Streptophyta, Magnoliopsida, Brassicales, Brassicaceae. The record is from RefSeq and is a predicted model, not a curated record.
AGUGGGAGGAUCAAAUUAAAUGAGAGUAACAACUAACUACUCCUUUCUUCUAUAGUCUCACAUCCACAUUUCAUCAGAUACGAUUUGUUCUCUAUAUAAACUCUACAUCACCCAUCUCCUUUUGGAAACCAACAAAAAAACCGGAACUAGCUAAUAGAUAUAUAUGGCUGGUCUUAUGAAGUUGGAAUGCUUGGUCUUCGUCUACAUGAUUGCGGCGUGUCCAAUCACAGCAAAGGCGGCUCUGAGCUGUGGCGAAGUUAACAGCAAUUUGAAACCAUGCACUGGCUACUUGACCAAUGGUGGUAUCACUAGCCCAGGCCCACAGUGCUGCAACGGCGUUAGAAAGCUUAACGGCAUGGUCCUUACAACCCUAGACCGUCGGCAAGCUUGCCGUUGCAUUAAAAAUGCUGCUAGAGCCAUUGGUCCUGCUCUCAACGCUGAACGAGCUGCUGCGAUUCCUAGGAGAUGCGGAGUCAGAAUACCUUACAAUACCAAAAUCAGGACCACCACCAGGUGCAACACCGUGAGGUGAGCGGCGGUCAGAUACUCAGAUGAAACUACUAGCGGAUAUAUAUUUUCUUGUUCAGAAAUUCGUUACUAAUCAGAAGAGUCGAAGGUAAAAAGUAUAAAAUCAAAAGAUAUAUUCAAGGACAAAAAAUCUAUGUGACGGAAGUAGCCUCUGACAGUGAAGAAGACGACAUAAGGCAAACAUCACUUCUCUUUUUGAAACAAGAGGAAUAAUAUCAAAGAUAUUUUGUGGUUAUGAGUGUAUUGAAUAAAGUUAUGGUUAUGAGUAUGUAGAAUAAAGUUAUGGUUGUAAAAUAAGUUUGUAAAAUAUUUUAAAGAAUAUUUUAGGUAAUAUUCCCUAGGCUUUGUUCUAUAAAUACCUAAGCUUGGUAAAGUGUUAAACCAAACUAAGUGAGUGAGAAAGAACCUAAGAGAGUUUGAAAGUC